UCUCUUAGUAAGGGCGACUGAAAAGGGAAGAGCUCAUGGUGUGAAUCUGUGCUUUUGUACGGAAUUGUGGCCUGUUGACUUCGUCUCCAAUUGUCCGGGCCAAAUCCCUUGGAACAGGGUAGCUGAGAGGGUGAUACUCCCGCACGCCCGGACUUUUGAGAUGGAUGUCUAUGAGUCGAGUUGUUUGGGAUUGCAGCUCAAAGACGGUGGUAAAUUCUAUCCAGAGCUAAAUACCUGUGGGAAACCGAUAGCGUACAAGUACCGUGAGGGAAAGAUGCAAAGAACUUUGAAAAGAGAGUUAAAGAGUACCUGAAAUUGCUGAAAGGGAAGCGAAGGAAACCAGUGUCGCCACAAACAUACUUCUCGGUCCGCGUGCGGGUCGGGCGCUGUGUCUGUGUCACUGCCAAUCUCGAUUGGCAUUGCUCGAAUGGGACUGCUGUUCAGUAUUGCUGUAGUCUACCGCUGCGAUGUCGAUUGGGCUUGCCUAAAUGGUUUUCUUUUCCCCGUCUUGAAACACGGACCAGGGAGUCUAACAUGUGUGCGAGUGUUGAAGUGGAAAGCUUCAAUGCGCAAUGAAAGUAACAGUGGUUGGACCCUUGGGGCACAAUCCGCCGGCCUCAAUCUUUCGAGAGAAUGGUCUGAGUGUGAGCACAAAUGUUGGGACCCGAAAGAUGGUGAACUAUGCCUGAAUAGGGUGAAGCCAGGGGAAACUCUGGUGGAAGCUCGUAGCGAUUCUGACGUGCAAAUCGAUC
RNAcentral lists this ribosomal RNA (752 nucleotides) under Navicula sp. Its description in RNAcentral is "LSU rRNA". It matches the Rfam family "Eukaryotic large subunit ribosomal RNA", at positions 76 to 903 of the family's 3401-position model. The record is from RNAcentral. Lineage: Eukaryota; Bacillariophyta; Bacillariophyceae; Naviculales; Naviculaceae.